This 140-nucleotide ribosomal RNA is filed under the name Eptatretus burgeri (inshore hagfish). RNAcentral describes it as "5.8S ribosomal RNA (ENSEBUG00000000030.1)". It matches the Rfam family "5.8S ribosomal RNA". From Rfam's summary of the family: 5.8S ribosomal RNA (5.8S rRNA) is a component of the large subunit of the eukaryotic ribosome. It is transcribed by RNA polymerase I as part of the 45S precursor that also contains 18S and 28S rRNA. The record is from Rfam by way of RNAcentral. Lineage: Eukaryota; Metazoa; Chordata; Myxini; Myxiniformes; Myxinidae.
UCUACUCAGUAGUGGAGCACUCGGCUCGUGCAUUGAUUUAAAACACAGUCCACUGCGAGAACUGGUGUGACUUGCAGGAUACAUUUGAUCAUCGAUACGUUGAACACACAUUGUACAUGUGUGCAUACCUCUUAGUGCAU